GACGAACGCUGGCGGCGUGCUUAACACAUGCAAGUCGAACGGAAAGGCCCUGCUUUUGUGGGGUGCUCAAGUGGCGAACGGGUGAGUAACACGUGAGUAACCUGCCCUUGACUUUGGGAUAACUUCAGGAAACUGGGGCUAAUACCGGAUAGGAGCUCCUGCUGCAUGGUGGGGGUUGGAAAGUUUCGGCGGUUGGGGACGGACUCGCGGCUUAUCAGCUUGUUGGUGGGGUAGUGGCGUACCAAGGCUUUGACGGGUAGCCGGCCUGGGAGGGUGACCGGCCACAUUGGGACUGAGAUACGGCCCAGACUCCUACGGGAGGCAGCAGUGGGGAAUAUUGCACAAUGGGCGGAAGCCUGAUGCAGCAACGCCGCGUGCGGGAUGACGGCCUUCGGGUUGUAAACCGCUUUCGCCUGUGACGAAGCGUGAGUGACGGUAAUGGGUAAAGAAGCACCGGCUAACUACGUG
This 468-nucleotide ribosomal RNA is filed under the name uncultured bacterium. Its description in RNAcentral is "partial 16S ribosomal RNA". It matches the Rfam family "Bacterial small subunit ribosomal RNA", at positions 28 to 507 of the family's 1533-position model. The record is from RNAcentral.